AGAGAGAGACAUGCGCGCAUAUCAAUAAGCGGAGGAAAAGAAACUAACAAGGAUUCCCUCUGUAACGGCGAGUGAAGCGGGAAGAGCUCAAAUUUGAAAUCUUCAAGGUUCUACCUUGACGAAUUGUAGUUUAAAGAAGUGUUUUCUGUUGGAGUUUUGGUAAAAGUUCUUUGGAAUAGGACAUCAUAGAGGGUGAGAAUCCCGUAUUUGACCAUUACUUUCCAGCUUUGUGAUACACUUUCAAAGAGUCGGAUUGUUUGGGAAUGCAGUCCAAAAUGGGUGGUAAAUUUCAUCUAAAGCUAAAUAUUGGCAAGAGACCGAUAGCGAACAAGUACCGUGAGGGAAAGAUGAAAAGAACUUUGAAAAGAGAGUUAAACAGUACGUGAAAUUGUCAAAAGGGAAGCGUUUGACACCAGUGUUGUUUUCUCGAAAAUCAAUUAAAAAAGGCAGGAUUUUGUGUUGUAUUGACUUUAUCAGCUUUCUGCACUCUUUUCUUGUCUUUUUUAAUGCACUUCUCGUUUAACAAGUCAACAUCAAUUUCUUUUGUUGUAAAAGGGUCAUUGGAAGGUGGCUUUCUUUUCGGAGAAAGUGUUUAUAGCCUUUGGCCUCUGCAAUCGGAGAGAUUGAGGUCUGCAGCGUAGAUCCUUCGGGGUUAGAUACAUUUGUGCUAAGUUAUAGCCUUUCAUAGACAACUUGUUGACUAUGAUCAGUCAUGUAGCUUACUCGCUUAUGCUAUUUUACCUACGCUUAGGAUGUUGAUGUGAUACUGCGAGCA
Molecule: ribosomal RNA, 775 nt
Filed under: uncultured Neocallimastigales
Lineage: Eukaryota; Fungi; Neocallimastigomycota; Neocallimastigomycetes; Neocallimastigales
Description: partial large subunit ribosomal RNA
Rfam family: Eukaryotic large subunit ribosomal RNA
Source: RNAcentral